AGGGAGGGAGGAGGUCCGACACGAGUUGACACGAGCACGCGACCAACAAAAAACUCGACCGAGUGCUCCUACUCUUAAUUAUCUUGUUAGUCGUGCCCACUACUCCUCCGAGCCAGCCACCCAAUUCUCUUCUCUUUCACACUUGACACGAGAUCCGUUUCCAAUCGAGAUCGAUCCACCUCGAUCUUUCCUUUUAUUUGUAUCGAUACCUAUUGCUAUUAUUCUCUAUAGAAAGGAAUUUUAAUUAUCAACGAGUUUUUCGUACACGCUUACGGAAAAAUGGAGAAGAAUUUUAACCGAUGCGCGAGUGAUCCGAGCAAUAUGGGUAUUCCGUCGUCUUUUAAAACGCGUAACAACAAGGUCCGCAUGUCGAAAUAGCCGCGUUAUUAAACGAUUGCCUCAAUUCAAAGGCAAAUUAACGGACAACGGGCUUAAGUCGACUGCUUGCUAACAUGCAAACGGCCCCGUCCAAUUGAGGACCACCCAAACUGCCCCUUUUAUCUCGAGACGAUUCGUAUCCCGAUCCUAUUCAUCGACCGUUCCAGAAUGAGCGGCCACUUGGCAACCGGGCCAUUCCCUCUCCCUCUCCCUCCGUUUCUCUCUCUCUCUUUCUUUCUUUUCGAUUUCGAAACACCAGUCGAACCGUUUAUGCGAUAUUUCGAAUUGUUUUCGAUACACGUACGAUCAGAAGAUUUUGUUUGAAGAUUUAAUUGUAACAGUUACGAAAAAAUCCUUUCGAUUCGAGAGAAUGAGUGGAGGGGGAAAAGUGGAAAAGUGGAAAGUGCUGGCAAGACGGCGGCUCACGAUAGAGGCAACUGUAAGGCGCGUUACGAUUAUGAGGGUGUUUAACGCGCGUUCGCUCGACUUGAAUUAUUCUCACGAGGUCGAUAAACCUUCACUGAGAAUGGUUGGUUUAAUUAAAAGAGCCACGCAUGCGGGAUCGACCUAAAAACGACAUACUUGGACAUCUUGGACGACGAAUAAAUAUGCAAACUGAUAUGGCGGAGGUUUAACGUCUCUUUCGGUGACGAACUGGCUUCGAAGAGAGAAUCCGACGAAAUCGAAGACGAUUUUAGGAGUAUUCCCGUGUAACCUGCCAGAGGUUCGAGGAUCCGUCUCGACUCUGCCAACUCCCCAGAGCCCGUUCUUCUUUUACUUUUCCCAAAUAAAACGACAGCUAAUCGAUAGUCCGUCAAGUUCCUUUCUUUUUGUCUUCUAUUUUAGACGAUGAUUUUUCUCCCCCCUUUUUUUUUAUCCGCACCAGAUAUUCGCCCGCGAAGAUUUUCUUUCAUUUUUCGAAAGUUUUCUUAAUUAAAUCGUCGCUCUUAAAUUUUCCGAUCUUUUCAAAUUUAUUUUCAUCGUUCGUUUAAUUUUACGAAACUUUAUUGUUCUCCUUCUUUCUUUUCUUUUUCUCGACACAUUUUCAAUCGAAUAACGUGAAAAAAAUUCUUACGUGUCGCAUCAAACAAACUUUUCUUUAAGUCUGAUCACUACCAAAAUCUAAAUUCAAAAAAUUAUUUAAAUAUAAUUUCUUUAUUUAUCAUAGAUUAGAUUAUUACUUUAUAAAUUCACCUAAUCCAAAAAAACUCCAAUUAUCCGAAUAUCUGAUAUUCAUCAAAAUAGAUAAAAUAUCUAUACUCAACUGUCAUCGGAUUUUGCUUUAUCAUCGAUCAAGGAUUAUCACGCGAAGAGAAUCAAUCUAUCUAUAUUCGAAAAUUUACAUUCACCUGCCGUCGAGACAUUUACUUUAUCAAAGAUCACCUUCAAUCAAGGGGAGGGGAAGAGAGGGGAGGAAAAUCAGUGGUGCGCGAAAAUCGGCGACAAGGGUGUACAACGCAUACAGGGAAGACAGGAGGAGGAGGAGAAGAAGAAGAAGAAGAAGCGUGGCAAGAGGAGCGAGAAAGGUGAAAGAAGGCAAGGAAGGAAAGGUUGGCCGGCUGUGGCAAGGCGGAGCGUGGAGGUGGCGGGGGCGGAGCGAGGCGAGUUUCAGAGGCGUGAUGUAUCGACGGAAUUUCAAAGUAAAAAAGACGCGAGGUUCGGGACGAGGUACACGUCUUCCCCGUGGAGAAAUUGCACAGGAUACUUCGGCCGAACGUGAGCGUGUCUCCUUCUCGAGUUAUCCCCCAGCUGCUCCUUUUCACUCCUCACCUUCGUUUCCCUUUUCUCGUUUUCGUUUUCGUUCUCGAAAUCGAUUUUCGUGAUCGCUCGCGAAGUAAAUCGAUCGUGGUCGAUUGUAGUGUACUCGGGAGAGGAGGGAGGAGAGUAAGAGAAGUAAGAGUGGGGGAGUAGGGAAUAAGAUUACGAUGCGCGCCAUCUAUCGGAACAGAGAAAUCGAGGGAGUGAAAAUGUUGUGGCGUGAACAGAGAGAGAGUGGAAAAAUACUGUAAAUGAUUUAUCGAAGGACGAAAUCGGUGAAUGAAUAAUGUGAUCGAAAAUGGGAUCGAUGGUAAAAUCGGUGGAUAGUGGAUCGAAUUAUCGAGGAGUGAAGUAAUUUUCCUUCUCUUCUCGCGGGAGAGAGAGAGAGAGAUAAGGGACUGGAUGCAUAAUCAACGGUGGAGAAUCACUACGAUUUAAGAAAUUUUCGAAAUUUCGAUCGAUGGUAAUCGAUACAAGGAGAGAGAGAGAGAGAUAAAAGCGAUGCAUAAUCCAUCGGAAGGGAUGAGAAAUCGACGGUGAAGGGUGUGAUGGCGCGGAGCAAGUGGAGAGAAGCGUAAGGGUAAGGGAGGAUGAGGGUGGAGGAAGGAGAAUGGGGACGAGAACCGCGAUCCAUCAAGAAGACACAAGGGUUUGGGGUGAUGUAUCCGAGGAUAGGUUGACCUCUGCGCCGGACACUAUAAAAUCACUCUUAAACAUUCCUUCCUAAAGCGAUCGUGAGCUUUGGAACGAAACUGGACUGGGCUGCCUCCUCUCCAAUUUUCGAAUUUUUCCUCCAUCUCUUACGAUCAAUUUAUUAUCCGCGAUUGCGAGAUAAUUAAAUUGGAAAACUAAUUGGAUAAGCUAGGAAAGUGUCGUAACGCUCGAAACUUUGAUGUUUGGAAAUGCUGAAAUAUAUGAAUGAAAAUACGAAAAAAAUAUAUCAUUAUAUCACAUAUUA
Molecule: long non-coding RNA, 3094 nt
Organism: Apis cerana (Asiatic honeybee)
Lineage: Eukaryota; Metazoa; Arthropoda; Insecta; Hymenoptera; Apidae
Source: RefSeq, a predicted model, not a curated record